Molecule: non-coding RNA, 679 nt
Organism: Oryctolagus cuniculus (rabbit)
Lineage: Eukaryota; Metazoa; Chordata; Mammalia; Lagomorpha; Leporidae
Source: RefSeq, a predicted model, not a curated record
UUACCCUGAAGGAUUCAGAGAAUGACUACUGACUAUGGGAACUUGCUGGCUGUGCCCGUGGGCACCACAGUGACAGCUUUGUGACGUCUCAAGUCCGGUUCCAGGAGUGACGAUAAGCAGAACAUCAGCGUAAAGCUUCCUGCCAUCGUGUCUCAGGGGUACACUCAUGUGACAUUCAAAACAAUGGGAAAUUGGAAGAAUUGACAACAAAGAGGAAAGCACAAGAAACAGGAAGUGAUAACACCGGAAAUGAAAUUUGAAGAGAGCGUGAAUGGGGUCAUGGAAGGUGGCUGGCUGUGCCAGCGUUGUCACGGCUGCCAUCCAUGAGACACAAGCUAUGAGUCCCAGAGUUACAGACAGUGAGAGAGAGACAGAGAAAAAGGUCUUCCAUCCACUGAUUCACUCCCCAAAUGGCAGCAACAGUGGGAGCUGCGCCAAUCCGAAGCCAGGAGCCAGGAGCUUCUGGGUCUCCCAUGAGGGUGUGCAAGGGCCCAAGCACUUGCGCCAUCCUCCACUGCUUUCCUGGGCCACAGCAGAGAGCUGGAGUGAAAGAGGAGCAACUGGGACUAGAACCCAGCGCCCAUAUGGGAUGCUGGUGCCGCAGGUGGAGGAUCAACCAAGUGAGCCAUGGUGCCGGCCUCAGCAGUCAUUAAUUUUUAUAGUGACUAUUAUUAUAAUC